This 1062-nucleotide long non-coding RNA is filed under the name Strigops habroptila (Kakapo). Its description in RNAcentral is "lncRNA (ENSSHBG00005006215.1)". The record is from RNAcentral. Lineage: Eukaryota; Metazoa; Chordata; Aves; Psittaciformes; Psittacidae.
UCAGUGUUCCAUAUUCUUUUAUUUUAAAAAUUCAGGAAUGUGAUACACAAUACAAUUAGCUCCCCACCACUGCAGUGCUCAUUCACGAGAGUCACUAGUUUCAUGUUUUGUGGGGGGAAAAAAAAAAGGGAGAAAAAGACUGUGCAGUGUUUUUGAAUGCUCCCAGUAUUCCGGAACUGUGAUCUUCAGAACAAAUCAAGUCUGUGUAACCACACAAAGAUCAGGUUAAAGAAAAAAAUCAAACUCUAUUGCAAGCUAACAGGCUACAGUCGGGCCUCACGCAGCUGGAACAAACACAAAACUUGUGUUUCUGCUGCUGUGCAGCCACCAACCGGACCUGGCUAUGUGCUUCCAGGGAAUUUACCAUCGAGGGCUAAAGAGACUAAAGGGCCCCGUUAACACCAGCUGGUGCUGCACAGGCAACGCGGCACAGGACAGAGGGGCCAUGCAAGUCCCCUUCUGCCCCCACCAUCACCAUCAUCACAUCUGCAUCCUGUCCUGAUAACAAAAAUAAUGGAGGGGUAGGAGGAGAGCUUUUUGUCUUUUAAGCUAGCCAUUGCCUGCAAUGGACACAGAAUAGAAAAAUAUGACUUCUGGCACCAAAAAAAGAUUAAAUAGUUACAAUGGAAGUAGCGACUACAACUCCAUCUAUUCAGAUGCAUUGACUGAGGCUGUUAACAAAUGGUGGCAACUCUCAAGACUCAAUAAUUGCUCUCUUCUUACAAGAGCAACAGGAGAGAAGGAAGUCAGGCUUCUCACUGCUACUAUGGUUUGUCUUGGUGCUUGGGGUUUUAACAAACUAAAGAGCAGUAGUUCUAGGGUGCACCAGUGAUAUCCAGCAGGGCCUCAAGAAUUCAUCCUAAUAACUGUGACCAAUAUUAAACUAGUGAGAAAAAUAAUUAGUGAAAGUUUACCAUAAAAAGCAAGGAUACACAUCUAAAAAAAAAAAAAUAGUACUUUGUUCAUUUCAAAAUUUACUUGGUUAAUACUUUGUAGCAUACUAGCAGUUGUAGCAUAUUCUGCAAACGUAGUCUUAUACGAGAUCUUAUUUAACAGUCAACU